Molecule: long non-coding RNA, 464 nt
Filed under: Brassica napus (rape)
Lineage: Eukaryota; Viridiplantae; Streptophyta; Magnoliopsida; Brassicales; Brassicaceae
Description: long non-coding RNA (BNAP_LNC007272)
Source: RNAcentral
AAUAGUUUUUUUUUUUUUGACAGCAAACAUUUACGGAUUCAUGUUCACUCUGUAAACCAAAAUGGUAACUCUGCAUCCAUGUGUACAACAAAAGACGGUUGGUUUCUAGCACUGCGUGCUAAGCUAUCCGCCUUGAGGUUCACCGUCCGAGGAACAUGAAUGGUAUCUGAGUUGGGGAAACUUCUUCUGAGAAGCUUAAUGUCUUCCAGGUAGCUUUCAAAUGCUGACCAUUCUUCAGGUUCCGAAACCAUUUUCACCAAUUGAGAACAAUCCGUAGCAAACAUAAUCUGAAACUGUCUUAAAUUCUUCAUACGUUACAUUGCCCAUAUUAAUGCCUCUAACUCCGAAUGGACAGGGGAGAGACAUGCUCGUACAUUCCUUGCCUCUAGCAAGCUAUCAAAACCCAGGAGAGUACUACACCAGCCUUGCCCUGAGAAUAAGUCCUUAUCCUUCCAUGAACCGUC